Capra hircus (goat) is the source of this 98-nucleotide ribosomal RNA. Lineage: Eukaryota; Metazoa; Chordata; Mammalia; Artiodactyla; Bovidae. The record is from Ensembl.
UUCCAUGGCUAUACCACCCUGAACGCGCCUGAUCUUGAAGUUAAGCAGGAUCAGGCCUGGUUAGUACUUGGAUGGGAGAGAAGCGUGGUCCUUGGUAC